UUUCCGUAGGUGAACCUGCGGAAGGAUCAUUAAAGUUAUAGUCCCCCGGCCCCUCCGGGCUGGGGUCUUCUAUACCACCCUUUGUUUAUUACACCUUUGUUGCUUUGGCAGGCCUGCCCUCGGGCUGCUGGCUCCGGCCGGCUCGUGCCUGCCAGAGGACCUAAACUCUGUUUGUAUAUGAAGUCUGAGUACUAUAUAAUAGUAAAAACUUUCAACAACGGAUCUCUUGGUUCUG
Molecule: unclassified non-coding RNA, 235 nt
Filed under: plant metagenome
Description: partial contains small subunit ribosomal RNA, internal transcribed spacer 1, and 5.8S ribosomal RNA
Source: RNAcentral